This 47-nucleotide ribosomal RNA is filed under the name Scirtothrips dorsalis. RNAcentral's name for it is "partial 5.8S ribosomal RNA". Lineage: Eukaryota; Metazoa; Arthropoda; Insecta; Thysanoptera; Thripidae. The record is from RNAcentral.
CACACCUGACUGAGGGUCGGUUGACCAAACUCAACGACCAGACUGUC